GCUGAGAAUAUGGCAGAGCUUGUUUUGGUUCUUUCCAUCUGAUCACUUCAUCCUUCCAGGCACUGGGCAUCCAGAGUUAAAUAGAUGCAACCCCUGCUGUGGAGAAGCUUACAGUGCCGUGAGAGGAAGUGACAGAUAUACACUGAAUGCCUGCUAAGUGCCUGGCUCCAUUUUUGGACUGGAAAUGGCAAGUAUCUGGGCCAGGAAAGGACUUUAAAGUCAUUGAAUUCAGUAGUUCUCAAAUACAGACCCUCAAACUGGUGCUGCUCGGCGAUAUUUUCACUGCUUUACAGAAAAGUGAGGAAAAGAGAGUGAUGUUUGGAAAGCCAAGAAUGACUGCAAUAGUGGAUGAUAAUUGAAUUAGUGGUAAUAUCCAUUGUUGGCAAAAAGUUGGCAACCCUCUGUAAUUCCUCUGACUUUUUUUGGUGGAGAAAAUUUGUAUUGGUCUGAGAAAUAGAAAAUCUGGAAUGCAUCCACAUCAACCAGUUUCAAUUCCUCUACACCUGAGCCCCUCCUCCAGCAGCAUCACCUUCCUA
Molecule: long non-coding RNA, 536 nt
Filed under: Homo sapiens (human)
Lineage: Eukaryota; Metazoa; Chordata; Mammalia; Primates; Hominidae
Description: non-protein coding lnc-GSDMC-35:2
Source: RNAcentral